UCGAGAAUCUUUUGCAAUGGGGGAAACCCUGACAAUGCGACGCCGCGUGGAGGAUGAAGGCCCUCGGGUCGUAAACUCCUGUCACAUGUUACGAAAGGUACAGGUUCACCUGUGCUUUGACGAAGGCAUGAGAGGAAGUCACGGCUAACUUCGUGCCAGCAGCCGCGGUAAGACGAAGGUGGCUAGCGUUAUUCGGAUUUACUGGGCAUAAAGCGCGCGUAGGCGGCCUGGUCAGUCGGAGGUGAAAGCCCGCAGCUCAACUGCGGAACUGCCCCCGAUACUGCCGGGCUUGAGUGCAGGAGGGGUGAUUGGAACUCCAGGUGUAGCGGUGAAAUGCGUAGAUAUCUGGAGGAACACCAGAGGCGAAGGCGGAUCACUGGACUGCAACUGACGCUGAGGUGCGAAAGCUAGGGGAGCGAACAGGAUUAGAUACCCCCGUAGUCC
Molecule: ribosomal RNA, 444 nt
Filed under: uncultured prokaryote
Description: bacterial SSU rRNA
Rfam family: Bacterial small subunit ribosomal RNA
Source: RNAcentral